RNAcentral lists this ribosomal RNA (1556 nucleotides) under Escherichia coli. RNAcentral's name for it is "bacterial SSU rRNA". It matches the Rfam family "Bacterial small subunit ribosomal RNA". Lineage: Bacteria; Pseudomonadati; Pseudomonadota; Gammaproteobacteria; Enterobacterales; Enterobacteriaceae. The record is from RNAcentral.
UUAAAUUGAAGAGUUUGAUCAUGGCUCAGAUUGAACGCUGGCGGCAGGCCUAACACAUGCAAGUCGAACGGUAACAGGAAGCAGCUUGCUGUUUUGCUGACGAGUGGCGGACGGGUGAGUAAUGUCUGGGAAACUGCCUGAUGGAGGGGGAUAACUACUGGAAACGGUAGCUAAUACCGCAUAACGUCGCAAGACCAAAGAGGGGGACCUUAGGGCCUCUUGCCAUCGGAUGUGCCCAGAUGGGAUUAGCUAGUAGGUGGGGUAACGGCUCACCUAGGCGACGAUCCCUAGCUGGUCUGAGAGGAUGACCAGCCACACUGGAACUGAGACACGGUCCAGACUCCUACGGGAGGCAGCAGUGGGGAAUAUUGCACAAUGGGCGCAAGCCUGAUGCAGCCAUGCCGCGUGUAUGAAGAAGGCCUUCGGGUUGUAAAGUACUUUCAGCGGGGAGGAAGGGAGUAAAGUUAAUACCUUUGCUCAUUGACGUUACCCGCAGAAGAAGCACCGGCUAACUCCGUGCCAGCAGCCGCGGUAAUACGGAGGGUGCAAGCGUUAAUCGGAAUUACUGGGCGUAAAGCGCACGCAGGCGGUUUGUUAAGUCAGAUGUGAAAUCCCCAGGCUCAACCUGGGAACUGCAUCUGAUACUGGCAAGCUUGAGUCUCGUAGAGGGGGGUAGAAUUCCAGGUGUAGCGGUGAAAUGCGUAGAGAUCUGGAGGAAUACCGGUGGCGAAGGCGGCCCCCUGGACGAAGACUGACGCUCAGGUGCGAAAGCGUGGGGAGCAAACAGGAUUAGAUACCCUGGUAGUCCACGCCGUAAACGAUGUCGACUUGGAGGUUGUGCCCUUGAGGCGUGGCUUCCGGAGCUAACGCGUUAAGUCGACCGCCUGGGGAGUACGGCCGCAAGGUUAAAACUCAAAUGAAUUGACGGGGGCCCGCACAAGCGGUGGAGCAUGUGGUUUAAUUCGAUGCAACGCGAAGAACCUUACCUGGUCUUGACAUCCACGGAAGUUUUCAGAGAUGAGAAUGUGCCUUCGGGAACCGUGAGACAGGUGCUGCAUGGCUGUCGUCAGCUCGUGUUGUGAAAUGUUGGGUUAAGUCCCGCAACGAGCGCAACCCUUAUCCUUUGUUGCCAGCGGUCCGGCCGGGAACUCAAAGGAGACUGCCAGUGAUAAACUGGAGGAAGGUGGGGAUGACGUCAAGUCAUCAUGGCCCUUACGACCAGGGCUACACACGUGCUACAAUGGCGCAUACAAAGAGAAGCGACCUCGCGAGAGCAAGCGGACCUCAUAAAGUGCGUCGUAGUCCGGAUUGGAGUCUGCAACUCGACUCCAUGAAGUCGGAAUCGCUAGUAAUCGUGGAUCAGAAUGCCACGGUGAAUACGUUCCCGGGCCUUGUACACACCGCCCGUCACACCAUGGGAGUGGGUUGCAAAAGAAGUAGGUAGCUUAACCUUCGGGAGGGCGCUUACCACUUUGUGAUUCAUGACUGGGGUGAAGUCGUAACAAGGUAACCGUAGGGGAACCUGCGGUUGGAUCACCUCCUUACCUUAAAGAAGC